This is a long non-coding RNA of Ostrea edulis (European flat oyster), 622 nucleotides long. RefSeq lists it as uncharacterized. The transcript is spliced from 3 exons. The record is from RefSeq and is a predicted model, not a curated record. NCBI's taxonomy places the organism in Eukaryota, Metazoa, Mollusca, Bivalvia, Ostreida, Ostreidae.
AUUCAGAGCACGUGCGUGUAUAAUGAGAAAGACUUUCCAACAGUAAGUAGAAAAAUGAAAUUAAUGCCAAGUAUAGGUUUACAUUCAAAAGUAUGUUUUUUGUAUAUAAAGUCAGGUUAUAAGCAGUGUAGGCAUACAUAUCAGAACUAAACAAGAAGAGAAGAGUAACCACAAAUGACGAUGUAAUUUUUGUAAACGUUUUGUUAAUAUCAGGAAAGUUUCUAUAUUCAGCAUAAACAUUUGUAUAUUGGGCAUAGCUGAUUUAGUAUUUACAAGCAUAUUCUUUAUAUUGAUAAUUAGAGCAAUCAAUAAUCGCAACAACUAACGGGGAAGCUGCUCGUGGCCGUGAAGAUACAGCUGUUUACCCGAAAAAUCACUAGAACCUCAGGACAAAGUCAUGGACAAUUCUCAACAAUGUAAAUAAGUAGACAGCAAGAAAGUUGAUACAUAGGGCAUUGCAAUCAAGCAGCCACUACUACGGGACGUGGAUUAAAGUUACUCACAAUAUAAUCCUCCCUCAACAGUUACUUCCAGAAAAAGAGCAUCUGACAAUAAUGCUGGUGCAGCGCAAACCGAAUAAUAACUAUGUACUCGGAUAAAUAAAUAAAUGCUGAUUCCUUCC